Erigeron canadensis is the source of this 645-nucleotide long non-coding RNA. RefSeq lists it as uncharacterized. Lineage: Eukaryota; Viridiplantae; Streptophyta; Magnoliopsida; Asterales; Asteraceae. The record is from RefSeq and is a predicted model, not a curated record. The transcript has 3 exons.
CAUUGCAAAAGACUUCAAACAUCCAAUCUUUUUCUACUGCCUAAGCCUAGAGUUGUCUUUGUAACUUCAGAACCUCUACUCAUUUCAUGCAACUGUCGAAUAGAUCACGCCCUGACAGGAUAGUCGAUUUUCUUAACCGGGUCCAUUACAUCUAACAUUAAGCAGGUGUCCAAGGACAAACAACCCAACAGGCCCCCAUCGAAUAAGGUUAAUGAGGAUUGAACCCUUGCCAUCCCCGAAUCAUUUACUUUUUGUCAGGUGUUGGAUAGAAGAAUCUGAAAGGGUUAACCCAGCAACCGAUAGAAGUGCUUGGACCAAUAUACAUGAAAGCUUCAACGCACGCACCAAUGCUGAUCCACGAAGCGUAUCUCAACUACUAGGUCACUUCCAAAAAAUUCGCAAUGAAUGUAACCAGUUUCAGGCAAUUUAUAGGAGGUUGAAUGCCCAAAUUCAUUCUGAUGAGUUGCUCUAUGCAACGGCGCAACGGGAGUACCGCGAGAAUUAUGGAAAAGGGCUUCAGAUACGAGCAUUGUUUCAGGGAGCUUAUCACGGUUUCCCACUUUCGUUUUCAUUAAGUCUGGUUUAUGUAUUCUAAUAAUUAAGUCUGUUUUAUGUAUUUUGAUUUAAGUGUGUUUUAUGUAUUGU